Hippocampus zosterae (dwarf seahorse) is the source of this 423-nucleotide long non-coding RNA. RefSeq lists it as uncharacterized. Lineage: Eukaryota; Metazoa; Chordata; Actinopteri; Syngnathiformes; Syngnathidae. The record is from RefSeq and is a predicted model, not a curated record. The transcript is spliced from 2 exons.
ACCAAGACCUGCCUAGCCAGUGCCAGUUACUCCGGAUGAAAACGACCCACCUGGGCUCACCCCUUGCUCACAUAGACGACCUGUUGCUGGCCAGAAACACAACCGCUGGACAUGUCACCCCAGACCAAAGAGAGUUGUUCUUACUUUUAAAACAAAACUUGUCCUCAAGCAUUCAGUACAUAUCAUCCUGAUCAUCAUGUGGUCGUGAAUCUGUAAUUGCAAGAUUCCCAUCCGUGCCAUCUGCAUCCAGUUCAAAUAAUAAAGAUGAUUUUUCUUCUCAAUGACUUGAAUUGCUUGAAUGUGACCUCGAAUCAGACAUCCUAUCCUUUGUUUUCAGAGACACAAUCAUACUUGGUUGGUAUGGCAUGAAAUUGCAACCACCUACCGCCCUGUAAAAGCAAUAAAAAUCAUCAGCCAUAUGUA